This 72-nucleotide transfer RNA is filed under the name Bos taurus (domestic cattle). It matches the Rfam family "tRNA". Rfam says of the family: Transfer RNA (tRNA) molecules are approximately 80 nucleotides in length. Their secondary structure includes four short double-helical elements and three loops (D, anti-codon, and T loops). RNAcentral also lists the same sequence under 2 other names. Lineage: Eukaryota; Metazoa; Chordata; Mammalia; Artiodactyla; Bovidae. The record is from Rfam by way of RNAcentral.
UCCCUGGUGGCUCAGACGGUAAAGCAUCUGCUUGCAAAGUGGGAGACCGGGGUUCAAUCCCUGGGUGGGGAA